RNAcentral lists this ribosomal RNA (542 nucleotides) under Salmonella enterica subsp. enterica serovar Montevideo. Its description in RNAcentral is "partial 23S ribosomal RNA". It matches the Rfam family "Bacterial large subunit ribosomal RNA", at positions 341 to 888 of the family's 2925-position model. Lineage: Bacteria; Pseudomonadati; Pseudomonadota; Gammaproteobacteria; Enterobacterales; Enterobacteriaceae. The record is from RNAcentral.
UCUGGAAAGGCGCGCGAUACAGGGUGACAGCCCCGUACACAAAAGCGCAUGUGCUGUGAGCUCGAUGAGUAGGGCGGGACACGUGGUAUCCUGUCUGAAUAUGGGGGGACCAUCCUCCAAGGCUAAAUACUCCUGACUGACCGAUAGUGAACCAGUACCGUGAGGGAAAGGCGAAAAGAACCCCGGCGAGGGGAGUGAAAAAGAACCUGAAACCGUGUACGUACAAGCAGUGGGAGCACCCUUUGGGGUGUGACUGCGUACCUUUUGUAUAAUGGGUCAGCGACUUAUAUUCUGUAGCAAGGUUAACCGUAUAGGGGAGCCGGAGGGAAACCGAGUCUUAACCGGGCGUUAAGUUGCAGGGUAUAGACCCGAAACCCGGUGAUCUAGCCAUGGGCAGGUUGAAGGUUGGGUAACACUAACUGGAGGACCGAACCGACUAAUGUUGAAAAAUUAGCGGAUGACCUGUGGCUGGGGGUGAAAGGCCAAUCAAACCGGGAGAUAGCUGGUUCUCCCCGAAAGCUAUUUAGGUAGCGCCUCGUGAA